CCUACGGGUGGCAGCAGUAGGGAAUCUUUCACAAUGGGCGAAAGCCUGAUGGAGCAACGCCGCGUGCAGGAUGAAGGCCUUCGGGUUGUAAACUGCUUUUAUAAGCGAGAAAUAUGAUGGUAACUUAUGAAUAAGGAUCGGCUAACUACGUGCCAGCAGCCGCGGUCAUACGUAGGAUCCGAGCAUUAUCCGGAGUGACUGGGUGUAAAGAGUUGCGUAGGUGGCAUAAUAAGUAGCUAGUGAAAUCUGGUGGCUCAACCAUUCAGACUAUUAGCUAAACUGUUAAGCUCGAGACCGUUAGGGGUAACUAGAAUUUCUAGUGUAGGAGUGAAAUCCGUAGAGAUUAGAAGGAACACCAAUAGCGUAGGCAGGUUGCUGGGACGGUUCUGACACUAAGGCACGAAAGCGUAGGGAGCAAACGGGAUUAGAUACCCGAGUAGUC
Molecule: ribosomal RNA, 442 nt
Filed under: uncultured bacterium
Lineage: Bacteria
Description: partial 16S ribosomal RNA
Rfam family: Bacterial small subunit ribosomal RNA
Source: RNAcentral